This is a non-coding RNA of Kogia breviceps (pygmy sperm whale), 393 nucleotides long. The record is from RefSeq and is a predicted model, not a curated record. Lineage: Eukaryota; Metazoa; Chordata; Mammalia; Artiodactyla; Physeteridae.
CCCUUGCGCUGGGCUAGACAUCCUUUUACGUCAUCUCUUCCACAAAGCCUCGCCACCGCACACCAUCCCCGCAAAAAAGAGAGGUCACCCACAGAGUCAUGAGGACACUCAGGAAGCCUCUGGAGAGGCCCAUGUGGGAAGCAACUGAGGCCUUCCGUGAGCUACCAGCACCACCUUGCCAGCCUGUCACUGCACCACCUUGGAAGCAGAUCUUCCAGCUCCAGUCACUUCUGAUGACUGCAGCCCCGGUGACAUCUUGGCCGCAGCCUCAUGGGAUGCCCUGGGACAGCCAUUCCUGAAUUUGAGACCCACACAACCUCUGCACCACGAGGCUUGCAGGAUCUUAGUUCCCUGACCAGGGAUUGAACCUGGGCCCAUGGCAGUGAAAGUGCC